Arthromyces matolae is the source of this 98-nucleotide non-coding RNA. Lineage: Eukaryota; Fungi; Basidiomycota; Agaricomycetes; Agaricales; Lyophyllaceae. The record is from the annotation of a GenBank genome assembly.
UCUUCGCUAGUAUAUCGGUUAGUACACGCGCCUGUCACUCCUCAAACGGUACCAGUGCCAAAACGCGCGAAAGCUGGGUUCGACUCCCAGGCGAAGAG